Molecule: long non-coding RNA, 1147 nt
Organism: Paramacrobiotus metropolitanus
Lineage: Eukaryota; Metazoa; Tardigrada; Eutardigrada; Parachela; Macrobiotidae
Exons: 5
Source: RefSeq, a predicted model, not a curated record
UUUCGUUUAUUCAGUUUUUUAAUUCUCGAUUAAUGACUUAUUUUUUCUUUAAUUUGAUUUUAAUAUUUUUGAUUUUUUUUAUUCAGAUCCAUUACAUUACACCAGGAAAUUCAGUCCGGCCACCGUGGCUUGAUCCGAGAAUUCCCAGUUGGUAUUUCGACUUCUGAGGAGUUUAUUCUGGAAUUCCUGGUUGGCAUUCCAAAAACUUUUUCCUGAUUCCUUCGCCGCUGAUCUGUUCAAAACGGUGGUUGAAUUUGCUGGACGCCCGCCAGUGACGAAGUUCAACCCCGUUGCCUGCAAGAUCGGCAUGCGUUUAUUAUCCAACGCUGUGCAUAUGCUCCUGGAUUGUCUGUGUGCUAUGCCAGUACAUGGCCACCGUGGAGCAGAAACAGUUGCCAGCGGACCAUGAUAUUCUCCUGGAAGUGAAGCGCAUUGUAGAGAUGCUACAGAGCCUUGAUUCAGAACAGCAGCAGGAAAAGGACAAUGUGGUGUCUCCGGAGCGCUUCGAUUGUGGAAGUUUGCUUAGAACGCCGGAUUCGUGGCAGAUUCUCAGCUCGUUGUACGGAUUGCAUUAUGCUGAAUUGUUUCUACAGCUGGUACAGCAAACGUUCGGCGGAAAUUGAAGAUAGACCGGUAGUGGGCUGAUCAUUACCGCCACUACACACUGGAAAUGCGUAUCCUCGCCUACAAUCCGCUGUUUGAGUCCUAUCAAUCCUGGACGCUCGAUUACAUCAUCCAGGCUUUCGGCGUUACGUCUGGUUUUGUUGACAAGGAACUAUCGCACUUUACUGCCGCUGGUCACCUGCACUCCAAAACUGAUAAGGUAAACGGUAUGGUGGAAACAUCCCGGCCAGAUAACAAGAACAGACCAUAUCAGUUGUUCAUUAAGCAAGGUGAUCAUUUACUGAACAACAUCCAGCGCCUCUCAAGAGUUUUUAACGUUUGAUUUUUUUCCUGUUUUCCGAUGUGUUAUGUACUUUUUAUAACAAUUUUGGUCACUUUUGCUUCGCUGCUGAAUACUGUUUGAUUUUUGCCAUUUCUGUCAUUAUGAAGUUCCAAAACGUUCCUAAAUCCUCAAUGUACCGUCCUAAAACUAAUGAUGGAAAAUCUAGUCUUGCUGGAAGCAUGAAUUGGCAAUCUUGAGGCA